UGGCUCAGGAUGAACGCUAGCGGCAGGCUUAACACAUGCAAGUCGAGGGGUAUAGGAAGCUUGCUUCCUAGAGACCGGCGCACGGGUGCGUAACGCGUAUGCAAUCUACCUUUUGCAGAGGGAUAGCCCAGAGAAAUUUGGAUUAAUACCUCAUAGUAUGUGAGAAUGGCAUCAUUUUCACAUUAAAGUUCCAACGGUAAAAGAUGAGCAUGCGUCCCAUUAGUUAGUUGGUAAGGUAACGGCUUACCAAGACGAUGAUGGGUAGGGGUCCUGAGAGGGAGAUCCCCCACACUGGUACUGAGACACGGACCAGACUCCUACGGGAGGCAGCAGUGAGGAAUAUUGGACAAUGGGCGCAAGCCUGAUCCAGCCAUGCCGCGUGCAGGAAGAAGCAUCUAUGGUGUGUAAACUGCUUUUGUACGGGAAGAAACACUCCUACGUGUAGGAGCUUGACGGUACCGUAAGAAUAAGGAUCGGCUAACUCCGUG
This 488-nucleotide ribosomal RNA is filed under the name uncultured bacterium. RNAcentral's name for it is "bacterial SSU rRNA". It matches the Rfam family "Bacterial small subunit ribosomal RNA", at positions 20 to 507 of the family's 1533-position model. The record is from RNAcentral.